AGAUUGAACGCUGGCGGCAGGCCUAACACAUGCAAGUCGAGCGGUAGAGAGGUGCUUGCAUCUCUUGAGAGCGGCGGACGGGUGAGUAAUGCCUAGGAAUCUGCCUAGUGGUGGGGGGAUAACGUUCGGAAACGGACGCUAAUACCGCAUACGUCCUACGGGAGAAAGCGGGGGACCUUCGGGCCUCGCGCCAUUAGAUGAGCCUAGGUCGGAUUAGCUAGUUGGUGAGUAAUGGCUCACCAAGGCGACGAUCCGUAACUGGUCUGAGAGGAUGAUCAGUCACACUGGAACUGAGACACGGUCAGACUCCUACGGGAGCAGCAGUGGGGAAUAUUGGAACAAUGGGACGAAAAGCUGACUCAGCAAUGCCGCGUGUGUGGAAGAAAGGUCUUCGGAUUAGUAAAAGUCAACUUUAACGGUUGGGUAAGGAAGGGUUUAGUAAACCGUUAAAUAACGGUUAGACUAAAC
This 468-nucleotide ribosomal RNA is filed under the name uncultured soil bacterium. RNAcentral describes it as "bacterial SSU rRNA". It matches the Rfam family "Bacterial small subunit ribosomal RNA", at positions 26 to 502 of the family's 1533-position model. The record is from RNAcentral.